This is an RNA transcript of Oncorhynchus kisutch (coho salmon), 1695 nucleotides long. It is a transcript of the gene named inaD-like protein, with no coding region annotated. The record is from RefSeq and is a predicted model, not a curated record. NCBI's taxonomy places the organism in Eukaryota, Metazoa, Chordata, Actinopteri, Salmoniformes, Salmonidae. The transcript is spliced from 7 exons.
AUUUUUGUGGAGCAGUUUCUCCAGUUCGUUAUUUUUCUCUCGCCCCACUGAUUCUUUUAAAACUUUACAUCCUGGUUCAGGUAAGGGGCGGGUUCAUUUAUUAACUUCCGCUGUACCGGUAGGGUGGAACAAAGUCAUAUCUCUUCCUUUAGCUAGAUAAUUUAGUAGCUAGUUAGCUAGUUUUAUCUUCUUUUGGGUUUAGCUAACACAUUUGCUGUGGCUUGUUAACUUGAGACAUCUGUGGCAUUUGUGUUACUUGGCAAAUAUAAACGUGGCUUAGUUUACCUGUCGAAACUUGUUUACCACUGGCUAUGUAAAUAGUUAACCCAUGCUGAUGGCUUGCUGACUGACAGAAGGACAAUUUGUGUAUUUCUCACAAAUAUUUGAACCUAUACUUUUAGUGUUGUAUUGUGAAGUGUUGCAAAAGGGCUGUAUUGUGAUGAUGCUUAGCCAACUUGAUGGACCCAGCUCAAAAGCAGUACGGCCUUGUACUCCGUAGUAAUGGAGGCGAUCACUAAUUGUUCUUCAUAGGCCUUUUAUUCGAUACAUUAUCAUCUGCCUAAAGAUGAUUAGAAUUGUUGUUAUGAGCUUUGUUUUUCAUGUAAACUUGCCCUGCUUCCUCACAGGCUGCAUCACAAAGAUACUCUGAGACAGAGUUAGGACAAUGUAUGAAAAUGUCCCAACAGUCUCCACAGUGGAGCGCCAGCAGGUAUUGCAGGCUUUGGAGCGGCUGCAGGCCAAGAUGGCCCAGAGGGAGGAGUGGACCCACAGUGAGAGGCUGGGGGUGCUGAGGGAUGCUCUACAGAGCCCACUGCUAGGACACAUCCUCACACUGCAGCAUUCAAUCAAACAACUCAAAGACCAGCUGAACUGCAUGCCUCCAGACACCUGCAGUGAUUUCAGCUUCUCUAGGAAGGGCCAGAUGAUCGUCAGUGCCAGCCGCCCAGCCAGCAGCCUGUGCACGUCCAGCCCCGGCACUGUGUUGUCCAACGGCUCGGCCCUUGCCUCCCCCGACCAGCUCCAGAGAUGGUUCUGCACCUCCGCUAAGGGGAGGCAGACAGAGCACAUCAGCCUGCCUAAGCCCUUGUCUGGGGGCCUGGGCUUCAGUGUGGUGAGCCUAAGGGCCGAAGGGACAGGGGACCACGGGGUCUUCAUCAGACACGUCCAGCCUAGGAGCAUCGCACACAGGGAUGGGCGCAUACAGGAGAACGACCAGAUCCUGGUGAUCAACGGGACGCCCCUGGACCAGAGUGUCACCCAGCAUCAGGCCAUCGCUCUCCUGCAGCAGCCUGGGGACGGUGGAUCUAGUGGUGGCCAGGGAUCCUGCCACCAUCACACAGCAUACACACACCCUCCCGCCCCAACUCCCGCCUGGGCCCUGUCACAAGCCUCCAGGAGCAGUGGGGCCAAAUGGAGGAGAUUGAGCUGCUGAACGACGGCUCGGGCCUGGGCUUUGGGAUUGUUGGAGGCAAGGCCACUGGGGUGGUGGUGCGGACUCUGGUUCCAAACAGUGUGGCUGACAAGGAUGGGCGCCUGCAUACAGGUGACCACAUCCUGCGUAUUGGUGAGACCCCCACAGAUGGCUUGACCAGCGACCAGGUGGUCAAGGUGCUGCAGGGCUGCGGGAGCCACGUGCGCAUGCUCAUCGCCCGUAACCCCUCGGGACAGUACUCCACCUCCCCGCCGCCCCCUCCC